AGAAUCAACGCUGGCGGCGUGCCUAACACAUGCAAGUCGAACGAGAAAGUGGAGCAAUCCAUGAGUAAAGUGGCGCACGGGUGAGUAACACGUGACUAACCUACCCUGGAGUGGGGGAUAACUGAGGAACCUUAGCUAAUACCGCAUAAUACCUACGGGUCAAAGGAGCAAUUCGCUUCGAGGAGGGGGUCGCGGCCGAUUAGUUAGUUGGCGGGGUAAUGGCCACCAAGACAGUGAUCGGUA
RNAcentral lists this ribosomal RNA (243 nucleotides) under uncultured bacterium. RNAcentral's name for it is "partial small subunit ribosomal RNA". It matches the Rfam family "Bacterial small subunit ribosomal RNA", at positions 26 to 285 of the family's 1533-position model. The record is from RNAcentral.